GCAAUGCGAGAUGCAUAACUGUCAUCACGUUCAAACUAGAUCAGCUCCACGAUGAAUCCGGGACACCGACGGAUUGUUAUAUGAGUUCAGUGACCUUCCCCCUGUCAAGAUAUCACUCGACAUUGACGAAUUGAAUUCAAUUCGUCAGUGUUUCAACAACAAUUCACUGCCCUAUGUUUCUGGAGUUGAUUUAAUGAGGUGGUGAUGAGUGGGGAGACCCUUCAUAGAUCGGAUGAAUAAAAUGGGUAAAGGCAGGAAGAGAGAAAGCCAGUUCUCGGAAUAAUGCACAUGGGGCGCGUGCGGACUCAGCCAGGGAUUUAAUUGGAUGGACACCAUCGUCUGGAUGCUUAAUUAACUAAUUAAUUUCACGCGGGACGCAGAGAUACUGGCGAGUGAUCCGAUGUUUCAUCUUCGCACUUUGAUGACUUCCCACUUUCAUUCAUCUUCCGCUCUCGACACACCUCGGGGAGUUUUAGCUGGAGCUUGAUGACGCAGGAUGAAUUUCAAUG
This is a long non-coding RNA of Fopius arisanus, 509 nucleotides long. RefSeq lists it as uncharacterized. NCBI's taxonomy places the organism in Eukaryota, Metazoa, Arthropoda, Insecta, Hymenoptera, Braconidae. The record is from RefSeq and is a predicted model, not a curated record. The transcript has 3 exons.